GAAGGAUCAUUAAAGAGUAAGGGUGCUCAGCGCCCGACCUCCAACCCUUUGUUGUUAAAACUACCUUGUUGCUUUGGCGGGACCGCUCGGUCUCGAGCCGCUGGGGAUUCGUCCCAGGCGAGCGCCCGCCAGAGUUAAACCAAACUCUUGUUAUUAAACCGGUCGUCUGAGUUAAAAUUUUGAAUAAAUCAAAACUUUCAACAACGGAUCUCUUGGUUCUCGCAUCGAUGAAGAACGCAGCGAAAUGCGAUAAGUAAUGUGAAUUGCAGAAUUCAGUGAAUCAUCGAAUCUUUGAACGCACAUUGCGCCCCUUGGUAUUCCGAGGGGCAUGCCUGUUCGAGCGUCAUUACACCACUCAAGCUAUGCUUGGUAUUGGGUGCCGUCCUUAGUUGGGCGCGCCUUAAAGACCUCGGCGAGGCCUCACCGGCUUUAGGCGUAGUAGAAUUUAUUCGAACGUCUGUCAAAGGAGAGGACUUCUGCCGACUGAAACCUUUUAUUUUUCUAGGUUGACCUCGGAUCAGGUAGGGAUACCCGCUGAACUUAAGCAUAUAU
Molecule: unclassified non-coding RNA, 552 nt
Filed under: Metschnikowia sp. JSKim-2014
Lineage: Eukaryota; Fungi; Ascomycota; Pichiomycetes; Serinales; Metschnikowiaceae
Description: partial contains 18S rRNA, ITS1, 5.8S rRNA, and ITS2
Rfam family: 5.8S ribosomal RNA (bases 193-346)
Source: RNAcentral